AUGAAUGACAUGCUGGGACACGCUAUCCCUGAUUUAUGCCGCUUCAGCUUGGAUGGGUCUCCAUCGUGUGGAACCGGACUAGAAAGUUGCGACAAUGAUUCCCGUUGCCCAGCGCUAUGGAUCGUGCCAUCCAUGAAGAACACUUGGGACUGGAACCUGGAGGAGGACAUUGGAAUUAACCCAUGCAAGUCGAAGAAGGAUUGGCCGGUGCUGCCGGCUGGCGUCAAGUUCGAUCCCACGGAUCAGCAGCUAAUCGAGCACCUUGAGGCCAAAGUGAGUGCUGACAGCGCGAGAUCUCACCCUCUCAUCGAUUUGUUCAUACCAACCAUCGACAGCGAGCACGGCAUAUGCUACACCCAUCCUGAGAAACUUCCAGGUAUCACACUGAGUGGCCUAAGCAAGCAUUUCUUCCAGCGCAAUUCCAGGGCAUUCAAAAGGGGCACGUGGACGCGUCGCAAGAUACAGUCGGAGUGCGGCAUGCACGCGAUGUGGCACAACACCAGCAAUACCUUGCCGGUGAUGGUCAUCGGCCGGCAGACGGGCAGCACAAAGGUUCUGGUGCUGCACACCAACAAGAACUUCGGCCAGCAGAGGACUAACUGGGUGAUGCACCAGUACCACCCCGGGGACCUGGAGCAAGAGAAGGAGCGGGAGCUGGUCCUCUGCAAGAUUUUCUACCAGACGAACACUAGGGCCAGGAGUAAAAAGAUUAUAAGUUAG
RNAcentral lists this ribosomal RNA (720 nucleotides) under Triticum aestivum (bread wheat). RNAcentral describes it as "partial small subunit ribosomal RNA". Lineage: Eukaryota; Viridiplantae; Streptophyta; Magnoliopsida; Poales; Poaceae. The record is from RNAcentral.